GACGAACGCUGGCGGCGUGCCUAAUACAUGCAAGUCGAACGCAUUUUCUUUCACCGUAGCUUGCUACACCGAAAGAAAAUGAGUGGCGAACGGGUGAGUAACACGUGGGUAACCUGCCCAUCAGCGGGGGAUAACACUUGGAAACAGGUGCUAAUACCGCAUAAUUCCAUUUACCGCAUGGUAGAUGGGUGAAAGGCGCUUUUGCGUCACUGAUGGAUGGACCCGCGGUGCAUUAGCUAGUUGGUGGGGUAACGGCCUACCAAGGCUGCGAUGCAUAGCCGACCUGAGAGGGUGAUCGGCCACACUGGGACUGAGACACGGCCCAGACUCCUACGGGAGGCAGCAGUAGGGAAUCUUCGGCAAUGGACGCAAGUCUGACCGAGCAACGCCGCGUGAGUGAAGAAGGUUUUCGGAUUGUAAAACUCUGUUGUUAGAGAAGAACAAGGAUGAGAGUGGAAAGUUCAUCCCUUGACGGUAGCUAACCAGAAAGCCACGGCUAACUACGUG
RNAcentral lists this ribosomal RNA (507 nucleotides) under uncultured bacterium. RNAcentral's name for it is "partial 16S ribosomal RNA". It matches the Rfam family "Bacterial small subunit ribosomal RNA", at positions 28 to 507 of the family's 1533-position model. The record is from RNAcentral.